GAUGAACGCUGGCGGCGUGCCUAAUACAUGCAAGUCGAGCGAACGGACGAGAAGCUUGCUUUUCUGAUGUUAGCGGCGGACGGGUGAGUAACACGUGGAUAACCUACCUAUAAGACUGGGAUAACUUCGGGAAACCGGAGCUAAUACCGGAUAAUAUUUUGAACCGCAUGGUUCAAAAGUGAAAGACGGUCUUGCUGUCACUUAUAGAUGGAUCCGCGCUGCAUUAGCUAGUUGGUAAGGUAACGGCUUACCAAGGCAACGAUGCAUAGCCGACCUGAGAGGGUGAUCGGCCACACUGGAACUGAGACAUGGUCCAGACUCCUACGGGAGGCAGCAGUAGGGAAUCUUCCGCAAUGGGCGAAAGCCUGACGGAGCAACGCCGCGUGAGUGAUGAAGGUCUUCGGAUCGUAAAACUCUGUUAUUAGGGAAGAACAUAUGUGUAAGUAACUGUGCACAUCUUGACGGUACCUAAUCAGAAAGCCACGGCUAACUACGU
This 496-nucleotide ribosomal RNA is filed under the name uncultured bacterium. RNAcentral's name for it is "partial 16S ribosomal RNA". It matches the Rfam family "Bacterial small subunit ribosomal RNA", at positions 28 to 506 of the family's 1533-position model. The record is from RNAcentral.